This 252-nucleotide ribosomal RNA is filed under the name uncultured bacterium. Its description in RNAcentral is "partial 16S ribosomal RNA". It matches the Rfam family "Bacterial small subunit ribosomal RNA", at positions 524 to 776 of the family's 1533-position model. The record is from RNAcentral.
CACGUAGGGCGCAAGCGUUGUCCGGAAUUAUUGGGCGUAAAGAGCUCGUAGGCGGUCUGUUGCGUCCGCUGUGAAAACUCGGGGCUUAACCCCGAGCCUGCAGUGGAUACGGGCAGACUAGAGGUAGGUAGGGGAGAAUGGAAUUCCCGGUGUAGCGGUGAAAUGCGCAGAUAUCAGGAGGAACACCGGUGGCGAAGGCGGGUCUCUGGGCCGAUACUGACGUGAGGAGCGAAAGCGUGGGGAGCGAACAGG